AACGAACGCUGGCGGCGUGGAUAAGACAUGCAAGUCGAACGGAGAACUUAAAUAGCUUGCUAAUUGAGUUCUUAGUGGCGGACGGGUUAGUAACACGUGAGAACCUACCCUUUAGACAGGAAUAGCCCAUGGAAACGUGGAUUAAUGCCUGAUAGUCUCUACGGAGUAAAUGAUGCCUUAUGGUGUCGCUAAAGGAUGGGCUCGCGGCCUAUCAGUUUGUUGGUGAGGUAAAGGCUCACCAAGACUACGACGGGUAGCUGGUCUGAGAGGACGAUCAGCAACACUGGAACUGAGACACGGUCCAGACACCUACGGGUGGCAGCAGUCGAGAAUCAUUCACAAUGGACGAAAGUCUGAUGGUGCAACGCCGCGUGGAGGAUGACGGUCCUAGGAUUGUAAACUCCUGUCAUUGGGGAGUAAGACUUAUUAGUUAAAAGCUGGUAAGUUUGAUAGUACCCAAAGAGGAAGGGACGGCUAACUUCG
RNAcentral lists this ribosomal RNA (483 nucleotides) under uncultured Verrucomicrobiaceae bacterium. RNAcentral describes it as "bacterial SSU rRNA". It matches the Rfam family "Bacterial small subunit ribosomal RNA", at positions 29 to 505 of the family's 1533-position model. Lineage: Bacteria; Pseudomonadati; Verrucomicrobiota; Verrucomicrobiia; Verrucomicrobiales; Verrucomicrobiaceae. The record is from RNAcentral.